Molecule: transfer RNA, 75 nt
Filed under: Lentisphaeria bacterium
Lineage: Bacteria; Pseudomonadati; Lentisphaerota; Lentisphaeria
Description: tRNA-Thr
Rfam family: tRNA
About the family: Transfer RNA (tRNA) molecules are approximately 80 nucleotides in length.
Source: RNAcentral
GCCAGCGUAGCUCAGUGGUAGAGCAGCUGAUUUGUAAUCAGCAGGUCGGCGGUUCAAGUCCGCCCGCUGGCUCAA